UUACGGACCUGACCCAGCCAGUGUUGUUCCUACGACUUUGUUCUCGGGAUUUAUACGGUACCGCAGCAUCAUUGAGCCGUACAUACCCGAUCGAGUUGUCAGACAGCUUGGGUUCAUACAGAGUAUACCUAGGUACCUUAUUAGGCCUGAGAAGGUCAAGAUGUAUAGUGUUGAGUUCCCGGCUGAGACGUCCGUACACAUGUGGGAGAGCUUUAUUCCAUUUGCUGCGUAUUGUCUACCAGUGGCUUGCUACACUAGACUCAGUCGCGGCAGUCCUGCAUACACGGACGAUUACAUUCCAUGGUUGGUGAGAUACUCUCACCCUCGUGUAUCACCCCCCUGACGUACCUCAGGUCAGCGGUCUCCUCGAGAGGACCAACACUGAUUAUUGGGUUGGUCGCUUCGUUGAGUUCACACAACGUGCACUUGCUGAGUCACAUGGGCCCAUGUCCCGUGAAACUAAGGCCAUGGCUGCACAGGCCCUUCGUGAUUGGGAUGCUAUGCGAGGGUUAUGAUUUGUGUUUAGCUAGACACCUUUAUUCUUAGUUGAACACUUUAAUUAUUGGUUUGACACUUUUAUUAUUUUGUUUUGGUUAUUGUAAUGGGACACUUUUAUUAUUCGUAUUAAAAUAUUGCAAGUGUUACUUGUGUUUUUUU
Molecule: long non-coding RNA, 657 nt
Organism: Chenopodium quinoa (quinoa)
Lineage: Eukaryota; Viridiplantae; Streptophyta; Magnoliopsida; Caryophyllales; Amaranthaceae
Exons: 2
Source: RefSeq, a predicted model, not a curated record